Molecule: transfer RNA, 76 nt
Filed under: Arcanobacterium canis
Lineage: Bacteria; Bacillati; Actinomycetota; Actinomycetes; Actinomycetales; Actinomycetaceae
Also listed under: 2 other names
Description: tRNA-His
Rfam family: tRNA
About the family: Transfer RNA (tRNA) molecules are approximately 80 nucleotides in length. Their secondary structure includes four short double-helical elements and three loops (D, anti-codon, and T loops).
Source: RNAcentral
GUGGCUGUAGUUCAGCUGGCAGAACGCCUGGUUGUGGUCCAGGAGGUCGCGGGUUCAAGUCCCGUCAGCCACCCCA